RNAcentral lists this unclassified non-coding RNA (211 nucleotides) under Hevea brasiliensis (rubber tree). Lineage: Eukaryota; Viridiplantae; Streptophyta; Magnoliopsida; Malpighiales; Euphorbiaceae. The record is from RNAcentral.
GUGGUCGGUUGCUUCUUUCUGAAUCAACUUUACAAAGAUAUUAGCGUUUAUCUGCUGCACAUGCUUCUUAAUUGUUUUAUUAUCAUUUUUCCUCAUUUCUUUUUCUUGACCCUUGGCCUUCGAGAAUUGUCAUAUUUAAAUGGCGCUUCUUUCUCUCAUGUUCAAGGAGAAUUGGGCACAUGCAUUUCCUCACCAAAUAUCUUUAGCCUUU